UACGUAGGGUCCGAGCGUUGUCCGGAAUUAUUGGGCGUAAAGGGCUCGUAGGCGGUCUGUUGCGUCGGGAGUGAAAACUUACAGCUUAACUGUGAGCGUGCUUCCGAUACGGGCAGACUUGAGGUAUUCAGGGGAGAACGGAAUUCCUGGUGUAGCGGUGAAAUGCGCAGAUAUCAGGAGGAACACCGGUGGCGAAGGCGGUUCUCUGGGAAUAUCCUGACGCUGAGGCACGAAAGCCAGGGGAGCAAACGGG
RNAcentral lists this ribosomal RNA (253 nucleotides) under uncultured bacterium. RNAcentral describes it as "partial 16S ribosomal RNA". It matches the Rfam family "Bacterial small subunit ribosomal RNA", at positions 524 to 776 of the family's 1533-position model. The record is from RNAcentral.